CCGGAGCCGCCUCCGCCGCGCUCCUGGGCCCUCGGAGCCAGUCCGCGGGUCAAGCCGCUACGAUGUGGGCCGUGUUGUCGCUGCUCUGCGCGGGCGCGGGGCUCCUGGGACCCCCGGCCUGCGGCGCCGCCGACCUCUACGUGAGCUCCUUAGAGAAAGUUCACUUUAAGUCAUGGAUGGUCCAGCACCAAAAGAGAUACAGCUCAGAGGAGUACCAGCGCAGGCUGCAGACCUUUGUCGGCAACUGGAGGAGGAUAAGCGCCCACAACGCUGGGAACCACACCUUUAAAAUGGGACUGAACCAGUUUUCGGACAUGAGCUUUGCCGAAAUAAAACACAAGUAUCUUUGGUCGGAGCCUCAGAACUGCUCAGCCACCAGAGGUAACUACCUGCGGGGCACUGGUCCCUACCCACCGUUUGUGGACUGGCGCACAAGGGGGAAGUAUGUCUCGCCAGUGAAAAAUCAGGGCGGCUGUGGCAGUUGCUGGACCUUCUCCACCACGGGGGCCCUGGAGUCUGCCAUCGCCAUCAAAACCGGGAAACUGCUGUCUUUGGCGGAACAGCAGCUGGUCGACUGUGCCCAGAACUUCAAUAAUCAUGGCUGCCAAGGGGGCCUCCCCAGCCAGGCGUUCGAGUACAUCCGGUACAACAAAGGCAUCAUGGGUGAAGACACCUAUCCCUACAAGGGCCAGGACGGGGACUGCAAAUUCCAGCCCAGCAAGGCCAUUGCCUUCGUGAAGGACGUAGCCAACAUCACAAUCAAUGACGAGGAGGCGAUGGUGGAGGCGGUGGCCCUGUACAACCCCGUGAGCUUUGCCUUCGAGGUCACCGACGACUUCAUGAUGUACAGAAAGGGCGUCUACUCCAGCACUUCCUGUCAUAAAACUCCAGAUAAAGUAAACCACGCGGUACUGGCUGUUGGGUAUGGAGAAAAAGAUGGGGUUCCCUACUGGAUCGUGAAAAACUCUUGGGGUCCCCAGUGGGGGAUGAAAGGGGAAACAAGGCCGACAUGUGCUAAGAUUUUAUGAAUGAGUGAAGGGAAUGCACGUCAACACUGGAAGGUGCACCAGCCAAGAACAAACAGAUGUACCACCCAGAGUCUCCAGAAGGAGAAUUCGACCUAGAAUAAAUAAUCACGAAGUGUGUACGGAACCACAAAAGACCUCAAAAUAACCAAAGCAGUCCCAAGAAAGAACGAGACGAGAGGUGUCACCAGCCCGGACUCCAAGGUGGACCAAGCUGUAGCGGUCAAGACAGUAUGGUUCCGGCACAAAAAGACACGUAGAUCAGCAGAACCGAACAGGGCGCCGGCCCAGAAAUAAACCCACAUUCAUAGUCAAUUACUCUAUGACACAGCAGGAAGGAACAUCCAGUGGGGAACAGUCUCUUCAAGAAAUGGUGCUGGGAAAACUGGACAGCCACAUGCAAAAAACAAGCAAAACAAGAUCACUUUCUUACACAAAAAUAGAUUCAAGACGGACUGAAGACCUACACGGGAGUCCUGAAACCAUAAAAAUCCUAAGAGAACACUGGCGGUCGUCUCUUGGACGUCGGCCUUAGCGACAUAUUUGUAAGUACGUCUCCUCGGGCGAGAGAAUAAAAGCAAAAAUAAAUUGCUGGGACUGCAUCAAAGUAAACGGCUUUUGCGCAGGGAGGGGAGCCAUGAAUAAAACGAAAAGGCAACCUACAAGUAGAAGGUUUUUACAAAUGACUUACCAGAGGUUAAUAUCCAGAAUCUAUUCAGAACUCGUACAACUCAACACCAAAAACGCGAUACGUUUAAAAACCGGGCAGAAGAGCCGAAUACACAUUUCUCCAAAGACAUCCAGAUGCCAACAGACACGUGAAAAGGCGCUCGACGUCGCUCGUCAUCAGGGAAGCGCAAAUCAGAACCACGAGAUACCACCUCACACCUGUCAGGACGGCUAAAACCAACACCACAAGAAGUAAGCGUUGG
RNA transcript from Herpailurus yagouaroundi (jaguarundi), 1957 nucleotides. It is a transcript of the gene named cathepsin H, with no coding region annotated. The transcript is spliced from 13 exons. The record is from RefSeq and is a predicted model, not a curated record. Lineage: Eukaryota; Metazoa; Chordata; Mammalia; Carnivora; Felidae.